AUUCACCUGACUGACUGCAUCAGUCAGCCCAGUCCAGAUACGUUUUGAUGCAUCACUGAAUAUUUUAAUUUCUGUCCUUCAGAACAGCCCCAAAUGUUUGUCCCAGUGCGCUUGCUUGAAAUGGGCUUCUCAAUGAGACACAUCUACAGGGCCAUGGAGGCAGCAGGGGUCACUGGAGAGGUGGACUCACGCACCAUCGAGGUGUUGGCGAGCUGGAUGCUGGAACAUCCCAUCACAGAGGAGCAGCAGGCAGGAGAGGGCUCGUUUGCAGGGGGCGCCACUGAUACGCCCUCAUCUGAAGGGCCAGAGACGGUCCAGUGCCCUGAGUCUCCAGCUCCUCUGACCCUACAAGAGAGCAGAGAACCCAACGAGAGUCUGUUGGCAGGCUUGGACUUGGUGGAGAGAGAGAACUUCUUAGAUGUUCACCUCACCAGGAACAGACCUCCACCUGCGCGGAGGCAGCGGUCCGGAGUAAGUCAGAGAACUUCCUUCAGGAGAGCAGACUCCCCGUCGCCCAGUCCUGUCCCAUCGCUGUACAGACAGGAUGUGGGAGUGGCAGAGUGGCCAGAGCGGGCUGAAACGCACCCCUUUGCUGCUGAAGACGACUCAGAGCUGGGCUACAUGGAUGAUCCGUACCAGGAAGAACCGUAUGAGGAGCUGCUCACCCCAGAGUUCAUCACCUCUGAGAGAGACACGCUGUGGAUGGUAGAGGUAUUGGCGACACUGUCUGUCUUUCUGUCUGU
Molecule: long non-coding RNA, 743 nt
Filed under: Sinocyclocheilus grahami
Lineage: Eukaryota; Metazoa; Chordata; Actinopteri; Cypriniformes; Cyprinidae
Description: lncRNA (ENSSGRG00000049331.1)
Source: RNAcentral